UACGAAGGGGGCUAGCGUUGUUCGGAUUUACUGGGCGUAAAGCGCACGUAGGCGGAUUGUUAAGUCGGGGGUGAAAUCCUGGAGCUCAACUCCAGAAUUGCCUUCGAUACUGGCUUUCUAGAGGCUGGAAGAGGUUAGUGGAAUUCCCAGUGUAGAGGUGAAAUUCGUAGAUAUUGGGAAGAACACCAGUGGCGAAGGCGGCUAACUGGUCCAGAUCUGACGCUGAGGUGCGGAAAGCGUGGGGAGCAACAGGG
RNAcentral lists this ribosomal RNA (254 nucleotides) under uncultured bacterium. Its description in RNAcentral is "partial 16S ribosomal RNA". It matches the Rfam family "Bacterial small subunit ribosomal RNA", at positions 524 to 776 of the family's 1533-position model. The record is from RNAcentral.